Etheostoma cragini (Arkansas darter) is the source of this 119-nucleotide long non-coding RNA. RefSeq lists it as uncharacterized. The record is from RefSeq and is a predicted model, not a curated record. The transcript is spliced from 2 exons. NCBI's taxonomy places the organism in Eukaryota, Metazoa, Chordata, Actinopteri, Perciformes, Percidae.
AACCCUUGUGUGGUGUUUGGGUCUGUGGGACCAGUUUUCAAUGUUGACUAUGCUAAAAGAAAAAUUAUGCUAUUUAUUAUUUCUUCUGACUCAAACUCAUUGGCCUUGGCUAAUUUUCU